UACCUCCUUGGCCAGUCUGUUUAACAAAGGAGCCAAUGAUAAUCAGGUUGGGCACAGUCGAAAUAAUUCUGGAGAAAGGCAAACGAGGCACCAAUGGUGCCAUUACCUUUGCUGCGAAUAAUAACAACAUUCCUCAAGCGCCAACAGCAUCAGUUGGACUUUGCUUCUCAUCUCUUCCGUACAAGACGCCAAUACGACUCAUAACCAGCCAGGGCCUGAAUUUCUGGGUGCGUCUUCAGAAUUUGCCGCAACGACUCAGCUCAACGCGCCACUGCCUCUUCUUAGCAUGUUUUGUCACAACACGCUUUCCCAAGAUCUUCAAGUGUUUUGUCUUCUCUUCUUAUUUUCAGCAUAGACAUGCCUGCUCAUAACAACAAUUACUUUGAGCAUAAGCGUGCUUGCUCGUAAAAAUUACAGGAAAUCGCUAGCAUCAUGUGCUGUUUCACCACCAAAGGGAGGUGAAACAACAACACCAACGACUACAAGGAUCACAAGUUCCUUCCAUACCUAGGAUUCUGGCAACCAGUUAGGCACUUAGGCUGGC
RNAcentral lists this long non-coding RNA (544 nucleotides) under Triticum aestivum (bread wheat). Its description in RNAcentral is "long non-coding RNA (TAES_LNC026370)". Lineage: Eukaryota; Viridiplantae; Streptophyta; Magnoliopsida; Poales; Poaceae. The record is from RNAcentral.